CCUACGGGAGGCUGCAGUGGGGAAUAUUGGACAAUGGGCGAAAGCCUGAUCCAGCCAUGCCGCGUGUGUGAAGAAGGCCUUCGGGUUGUAAAGCACUUUCAGUGGGGAAGAAAGCCUUGGGGCUAAUACCCUCGAGGAAGGACAUCACCCACAGAAGAAGCACCGGCUAACUCCGUGCACAGCAGCCGCGGUAAUACGGAGGGUGCGAGCGUUAAUCGGAAUUACUGGGCGUAAAGCGCGCGUAGGCGGUCUGAUAAGCCGGUUGUGAAAGCCCAGGGCUCAACCUGGGAACGGCAUCCGGAACUGUCAGGCUAGAGUGCAGGAGAGGAAGGUAGAAUUCCCGGUGUAGCGGUGAAAUGCGUAGAGAUCGGGAGGAAUACCAGUGGCGAAGGCGGCCUUCUGGACUGACACUGACGCUGAGGUGCGAAAGCGUGGGUAGCAAACAGGAUUAGAUACCCCUGUAGUC
This 466-nucleotide ribosomal RNA is filed under the name Vreelandella stevensii. RNAcentral describes it as "partial 16S ribosomal RNA". It matches the Rfam family "Bacterial small subunit ribosomal RNA", at positions 338 to 795 of the family's 1533-position model. Lineage: Bacteria; Pseudomonadati; Pseudomonadota; Gammaproteobacteria; Oceanospirillales; Halomonadaceae. The record is from RNAcentral.